This 455-nucleotide ribosomal RNA is filed under the name uncultured bacterium. RNAcentral's name for it is "bacterial SSU rRNA". It matches the Rfam family "Bacterial small subunit ribosomal RNA", at positions 88 to 518 of the family's 1533-position model. The record is from RNAcentral.
AAUCCUAGUGGCGAACGGGUGAGUAACGCGUAGGCAACCUGCCCUCCGGCCGGGGACAACACUCCGAAAGGGGUGCUAAUACCGGAUACGAAGUCUGUGCCGCAUGGUACGGAUUUGAAAGAUGGCCUCUAUUUAUAAGCUAUCGCCGGGGGAUGGGCCUGCGUCCGAUUAGCUGGUUGGUGGGGUAACGGCCUACCAAGGCGACGAUCGGUAGCCGGUCUGAGAGGAUGAACGGCCACAUUGGGACUGAGACACGGCCCAGACUCCUACGGGAGGCAGCAGUGGGGAAUCUUCCGCAAUGGGCGCAAGCCUGACGGAGCAACGCCGCGUGAGUGAGGAAGUUCUUCGGAACGUAAAGCUCUGUUGUUCCUGACGAACCGUCCCUUCUAUCAACAACGGAGGGGACUGACGGUAGGGAACGAGGAAGCCACGGCUAACUACGUGCCAGCCGCCGC